GAUGUUUUAGACGUUUUCCAACACAAAUAGGUUUCAACGAUUUUUAUAAGCCAUUUGGAAUUAAAUUAUAAAGCUUUAUUUUAGAUGUUAAAAUUACAAUUGAUCAUAGUUUAUUUUAACCACUUCCAAUCGACAAUUGAAAUAUCUUUUUUCAACGACUGACCUUCGGAAACUGGAAAAAUUGCUUGUGUAUAGUAUUAGCAAUGUUAAGAAGUUGCAUUUUUUUCAUUUCAAGAGACACACAAAUUUUGUAAAAUGGAUCCGCGAACAGCAGUUGAAAAGCAAGAAGACGUCGCGAGAAGAAACGCACCUAAUGAAAUUUUUAACGAGACCGACGAGUCUACCGGCAAAUCCGGUAGAAUCCGAAGCAUUGUGCACCAAGAGUGAGCUAGUGGCGGAAUUGGGAGCAUGUGAGGAAGGAUGAUAAAAUUUGAUGCUUGCAUGGAGCCGCAUAUGCCUGGCGGAAGCCAAAUACCGAGCUCCAAAACAUUGAUUUAAAUCCUACAGUCAAGCAUAGCGGUGGCAGUGGCAUGGUCUUGUAUAUCCACAGACGGAGUCGGAAAGCUGCAUUUUAUUGAACCACAAUAGACACGACUCACUAUCUGGCGGUACUGAAAGCCAAUUUCCUCCAAAGUAAGGAUAAACUGGGCAUUAGGGACGAUUUCCGCUUCUACCAAUUUGGAAUUGUCAUCAUGUCCUGCAACCACCAGCUCUGGUAUGGCAACAACAUGGGUAGAAUCAAAAUUCCACAUCGUCUUGGAAUAUUCAACAAAAGGAAGGUCUUACGAAGUAUUAAAUACAUUGUUUAACAUAUUUAUACUUAAAUAAGCUGUGGUAUUUUUUUGUUAUUUUGUUUGUUUUUCAAUUAUUUUAUUAAGUUAACAAAAA
Long non-coding RNA from Drosophila albomicans, 888 nucleotides. RefSeq lists it as uncharacterized. The record is from RefSeq and is a predicted model, not a curated record. Lineage: Eukaryota; Metazoa; Arthropoda; Insecta; Diptera; Drosophilidae. The transcript has 4 exons.